UACGGAGGGGGUUAGCGUUGUUCGGAAUUACUGGGCGUAAAGCGCGCGUAGGCGGACCAGAAAGUUGGGGUGAAAUCCCGGGGCUCAACCCCGGAACGGCCUCCAAAACUCCUGGUCUUGAGUUCGAGAGAGGUGAGUGGAAUUCCGAGCGUAGAGGUGAAAUUCGUAGAUAUUCGGAGGAACACCAGCGGCGAAGGCGGCUCACUGGCUCGAUACUGACGCUGAGGUGCGAAAGUGUGGGGAGCAAACAGG
RNAcentral lists this ribosomal RNA (252 nucleotides) under uncultured bacterium. RNAcentral's name for it is "partial 16S ribosomal RNA". It matches the Rfam family "Bacterial small subunit ribosomal RNA", at positions 524 to 776 of the family's 1533-position model. The record is from RNAcentral.